AUUAAAUUUUAUUAUGAUUUAUUAAUUAAUUAAAUUUAUAUAUUAUAUAAAAUAAUUUUAUUAUUAGAAAUUUAAAUUUUAAUUAAUAAUUAAUUUUAAAAAAUUAAUGAAAGUUAAAUUUAGGAAAUAAUUUUAGUAAAGAUAAAUUUAGUGCCAGCAAUAGCGGUUAAACUAAUUUUGUAAAUUAAUUUUAACAAUAAUUAUAAAUGAUGAAUAUUUAUAAUAUUAAUUUAAUUAAAUUUAUAAAUUUUAGGUGAAAUUUUAAUUUAUAAAUAUAGUUAAAUUUUAUAUUUAAGUAUAUAGUAAGAUAAUUUAAUAGACUAGGAUUAGAUACCCUAUUAUUUAAAAUAGUAAAUUAAAUAUUUAUGAUUAAAUGUUGAAUCAUUAAAAUUAAAUAAUAUGGCGGCUUUUCAUUCUUAUUAGAGAAACUUGUAAUUUAAUUUGAUAGUCCACGAUAGGAUUAACUUAAAUUUUUAUACUUAUGUAUUGUUGUUUUCAUUUUUUAAAAAAAUUUAUAUUGUAAGUAAUAUUAGAUAUAUAAUAAUAAUUCAAAUCAAAAUGUAGUAUAUUUAAGAAUAUAUGAGUUAUAAUUAAUUAAAUUAUUGGAUAAUUAAUUUUAAUAUUAAUUUGAAAGAGGAUUUAAUAGUAAAUUUAGUGAAUUAACUAAAUUGAAAAUAGUUUUGAAAAGUGUACAAAUUGCCCGUCAAUUUCAUUUUAAGGAAUAAGUCGUAACAUAGUAAAAAUAUUGGAAAAUGUUUUUAGAUAAAA
RNAcentral lists this non-coding RNA (768 nucleotides) under Bombus waltoni. The record is from RNAcentral. Lineage: Eukaryota; Metazoa; Arthropoda; Insecta; Hymenoptera; Apidae.